This 661-nucleotide ribosomal RNA is filed under the name uncultured bacterium. Its description in RNAcentral is "bacterial SSU rRNA". It matches the Rfam family "Bacterial small subunit ribosomal RNA", at positions 8 to 703 of the family's 1533-position model. The record is from RNAcentral.
AGAGUUUGAUCCUGGCUCAGCGCGAACGCCGGCGGCAUGGCUAAAACAUGCAAGUCGAACGAGAAGCGGGCUUCGGCCCGUGGACAGUGGCGGAAGGGCGAGUAAUGCGUUCUUUACGUACCCUCAGGUGGGGGAUAGCGUCGGGAAACUGGCGGUAAUACCCCAUAAUCCGGCAACGGCAAAGGUUUACUGCCUGAGGAUCGGAGAACGUCCUAUCAGCUUGUUGGUGAGGUAAAGGCUCACCAAGGCAAAGACGGGUAGCGGGUGUGAGAGCACGACCCGCCGCAUCGGGACUGAGACACUGCCCGGACUCCUACGGGAGGCUGCAGUAACGGAUAUUCCGCAAUGCGCGAGAGCGUGACGGAGCAAUGCCGCGUGAAGGAUGAAGCCCCUCUGGGGUGUAAACUUCUGUCAGGGGACACCAAGAUCUGAGGAUCCCCAAAGGAAGGGCCGGCUAACUUCGUGCCAGCAGCCGCGGUAAUACGAAGGGCCCGAGCGUUGCGCGGAAUCACUGGGCUUAAAGGGUGCGCAGGCGGGAUGGAAAGUGUUUUGUGAAAUCCCUCGGCUCAACCGAGGAACUGCUUGACAUACUUCCAUUCUUGAGGUCGACAGAGGCUGUCGGAACGAUAGGUGGAGCGGUGAAAUGCGUAGAGAUCUAUCG